UUGUAGCCUCGCCGACGAGGGCUGGCCCUCUGCU
Molecule: transfer RNA, 34 nt
Filed under: Homopholis fasciata
Lineage: Eukaryota; Metazoa; Chordata; Lepidosauria; Squamata; Gekkonidae
Description: partial tRNA-Tyr
Source: RNAcentral